RNAcentral lists this ribosomal RNA (504 nucleotides) under uncultured bacterium. RNAcentral describes it as "bacterial SSU rRNA". It matches the Rfam family "Bacterial small subunit ribosomal RNA", at positions 9 to 511 of the family's 1533-position model. The record is from RNAcentral.
GAGUUUGAUCAUGGCUCAGAUUGAACGCUGGCGGCAGGCCUAACACAUGCAAGUCGAGCGGUAGAGAGAAGCUUGCUUCUCUUGAGAGCGGCGGACGGGUGAGUAAUGCCUAGGAAUCUGCCUGGUAGUGGGGGAUAACGCUCGGAAACGGACGCUAAUACCGCAUACGUCCUACGGGAGAAAGCAGGGGACCUUCGGGCCUUGCGCUAUCAGAUGAGCCUAGGUCGGAUUAGCUAGUUGGUGAGGUAAUGGCUCACCAAGGCGACGAUCCGUAACUGGUCUGAGAGGAUGAUCAGUCACACUGGAACUGAGACACGGUCCAGACUCCUACGGGAGGCAGCAGUGGGGAAUAUUGGACAAUGGGCGAAAGCCUGAUCCAGCCAUGCCGCGUGUGUGAAGAAGGUCUUCGGAUUGUAAAGCACUUUAAGUUGGAGAAGGGCAGUAAUUAAUACUUUGCUGUUUUGACGUUACCGACAGAAUAAGCACCGGCUAACUCUGUGCCAG